GAUGAACGCUGGCGGCGUGCUUAACACAUGCAAGUCGAACGAAGCACUUUAUUUGAUUUCCUUCGGGACUGAUUAUUUUGUGACUGAGUGGCGGACGGGUGAGUAACUCGUGGGUAACCUGCCUUGUACAGGGGGAUAACAGUUGGAAACGGCUGCUAAUACCGCAUAAGCGCACGGCAUCGCAUGAUGCAGUGUGAAAAACUCCGGUGGUAUAAGAUGGACCCGCGUUGGAUUAGCUAGUCGGUGAGGUAACGGCCUACCAAGGCGACGAUCCAUAGCCGACCUGAGAGGGUGACCGGCCACAUUGGGACUGAGACACGGCCCAAACUCCUACGGAAGGCAGCAGUGGGGAAUAUUGCACAAUGGGCGAAAGCCUGAUGCAGCGACGCCGCGUGAGCGAAGAAGUGUUUCGGUAUGUAAAGCUCUAUCAGCAGGGAAGAUAAUGACGGUACCUGACUAAGAAGCACCGGCUAAAUACGUG
This 481-nucleotide ribosomal RNA is filed under the name uncultured bacterium. RNAcentral describes it as "partial 16S ribosomal RNA". It matches the Rfam family "Bacterial small subunit ribosomal RNA", at positions 28 to 507 of the family's 1533-position model. The record is from RNAcentral.